Molecule: ribosomal RNA, 470 nt
Filed under: bacterium MF35
Lineage: Bacteria
Also listed under: 1 other name
Description: bacterial SSU rRNA
Rfam family: Bacterial small subunit ribosomal RNA
Source: RNAcentral
CCUUAACACAUGCAAGUCGAACGAUGAGGGCCCAGCUUGCUGGGUCUGAUUAGUGGCGAACGGGUGAGUAACACGUGAGCAACCUGCCCCUGACUUCGGGAUAACCUCGGGAAAUCGUGGCUAAUACCGGAUAUGACGCCCUGCCGCAUGGUGGGGUGUGGAAAGACUGUGUCGGUUGGGGAUGGGCUCGCGGCCUAUCAGCUUGUUGGUGGGGUGAUGGCCUACCAAGGCAGACGACGGGUAAGCCGGCCCUGAGAGGGUAGACCGGGCCACCACUGGGAUCUGAGNACACGGCCCACGACUCCCCUACGGGAGGCAGCAGUCNGGGGAAUAUUGGCACUAAUGGGCGCAAGCCCCUGAAUGCAGCGACGCACAGGCGUGAGGAGAUGACAGGCCUUCGGGNUUGUAAACCUCUUUCAGCAGGGGAGAAGGCCUUCGGGUUGACGGUACCUGCAGNAGNAGCGCCGGCU